RNAcentral lists this ribosomal RNA (274 nucleotides) under uncultured bacterium. RNAcentral describes it as "partial 16S ribosomal RNA". It matches the Rfam family "Bacterial small subunit ribosomal RNA", at positions 523 to 796 of the family's 1533-position model. The record is from RNAcentral.
AUACGGAGGGUGCAAGCGUUAUCCGGAAUCAUUGGGUUUAAAGGGUCCGCAGGCGGAUUAAUAAGUCAGUGGUGAAAUCCUCUCGCUCAACGAGAGAACUGCCAUUGAAACUGUUAGUCUUGAAUUCGGUCGGAGUAGGCGGAAUGUGUCAUGUAGCGGUGAAAUGCAUAGAUAUGGCACAGAACACCGAUAGCGAAGGCAGCUUACUAGACCUGGAUUGACGCUCAUGGACGAAAGCGUGGGGAGCGAACAGGAUUAGAAACCCUAGUAGUCC